GAUGAACGCUGGCGGCGUGCCUAAUACAUGCAAGUCGAGCGAACAGACGAGGAGCUUGCUCCUCUGACGUUAGCGGCGGAUGGGUGAGUAACACGUGGAUAACCUACCUAUAAGACUGGGAUAACUUCGGGAAACCGGAGCUAAUACCGGAUAAUAUAUUGAACCGCAUGGUUCAAUAGUGAAAGACGGUUUUGCUGUCACUUAUAGAUGGAUCCGCGCCGCAUUAGCUAGUUGGUAAGGUAACGGCUUACCAAGGCGACGAUGCGUAGCCGACCUGAGAGGGUGAUCGGCCACACUGGAACUGAGACACGGUCCAGACUCCUACGGGAGGCAGCAGUAGGGAAUCUUCCGCAAUGGGCGAAAGCUUGACGGAGCAACGCCGCGUGAGUGAUGAAGGUCUUCGGAUCGUAAAACUCUGUUAUUAGGGAAGAACAAAUGUGUAAGUAACUAUGCACGUCUUGACGGUACCUAAUCAGAAAGCCACGGCUAACUACGUG
RNAcentral lists this ribosomal RNA (497 nucleotides) under uncultured bacterium. RNAcentral's name for it is "partial 16S ribosomal RNA". It matches the Rfam family "Bacterial small subunit ribosomal RNA", at positions 28 to 507 of the family's 1533-position model. The record is from RNAcentral.